UAAGUAAAGACAAAUCAUUGCUAACGAAAAACGAUUCGGAGCGAAGUUCGGUUAUACAUGUUUUGAAAGGCCAUAAUAAUUAUGAUUCUCAUUAAAAUUUCAUUUUAAACUCUUAUAAUAAUAAAAUAAAAUAGUUACAUUGUACUAAAAUUAUUAUAUUUUGACGACAAAGUAUGAUCUUAUAAUGAACCUUCUGUUAAAUUGUUAAGCAUUUCUGUUU
Molecule: non-coding RNA, 220 nt
Organism: Cinara cedri
Lineage: Eukaryota; Metazoa; Arthropoda; Insecta; Hemiptera; Aphididae
Source: the annotation of a GenBank genome assembly